CCUACGGGAGUCUGCAGUGGGGAAUAUUGCACAAUGGGGGAAACCCUGAUGCAGCGACGCCGCGUGCGUGAAGAAGUAUUUCGGUAUGUAAAGCUCUAUCAGCAGGGAAGAUAAUGACGGUACCUGACUAAGAAGCCCCGGCUAACUACGUGCCAGCAGCCGCGGUAAUCCGUAGGGGGCAAGCGUUAUCCGGAUUUACUGGGUGGAACGGGAGCGUAGGUGUCAGGUCAAGUCAGAUGUGAAAACCCGGGGCUCAACCCCGGGAGUGCAUUUGAAACUGUCCAGCUGGAGUGCAGGAAAGGUAAGCGGAAUUCCGAGUGUAGAGGUGAAAUGCAUAGAUAUUAGGAAGAACACCAGUGGCGAAGGCAGCUUACUGGACUGUAACUGACACUGAGGCUCGAAAGCGUGGGGAGCAAACAGGAUUAGAUACCCGAGUAGUC
Molecule: ribosomal RNA, 440 nt
Filed under: uncultured bacterium
Lineage: Bacteria
Description: partial 16S ribosomal RNA
Rfam family: Bacterial small subunit ribosomal RNA
Source: RNAcentral